This 185-nucleotide unclassified non-coding RNA is filed under the name uncultured fungus. RNAcentral describes it as "sequence contains ITS1". The record is from RNAcentral. Lineage: Eukaryota; Fungi.
UUAACUUAUUUGUUUUUUUGCUCAGAGAUACAGAGAUAAAAGAGUUUGAUGGACCUUCGGCGGUCACUCCCCGGUAGCUCCGAAGAACUGUAGGGUAGGCCCGCCGAGGCAACAGGUAUGUUCACAUGGGUUUUAGGGAGUUUUACAACUCUAUAAUGAUCCCUCCGCUGGUUCACCAACGGAGA